RNAcentral lists this ribosomal RNA (222 nucleotides) under uncultured bacterium. Its description in RNAcentral is "partial 16S ribosomal RNA". It matches the Rfam family "Bacterial small subunit ribosomal RNA", at positions 524 to 744 of the family's 1533-position model. The record is from RNAcentral.
UACGUAGGGUGCAAGCGUUGUCCGGAAUUAUUGGGCGUAAAGAGCUCGUAGGCGGUCUGUUGCGUCGGCUGUGAAAACCCGAGGCUCAACCUCGGGCCUGCAGCCGAUACGGGCAGACUAGAGUUCGGCAGGGGAGACUGGAAUUCCUGGUGUAGCGGUGAAAUGCGCAGAUAUCAGGAGGAACACCGGUGGCGAAGGCGGGUCUCUGGGCAGUAAACUGAC